GAAGGUCCCCCGCGUGGCGGCACCCUCGCCCAACUCCCCCAGGGCCGGAAGGCAGCAAGGGUAAGUGAGCUCUACCGGGUGCGCGGGGGGCCCCUUUU
RNAcentral lists this signal recognition particle RNA (98 nucleotides) under Acidobacteriota bacterium. Its description in RNAcentral is "signal recognition particle sRNA small type". It matches the Rfam family "Bacterial small signal recognition particle RNA". From Rfam's summary of the family: The signal recognition particle (SRP) is a universally conserved ribonucleoprotein involved in the co-translational targeting of proteins to membranes. The record is from RNAcentral. Lineage: Bacteria; Pseudomonadati; Acidobacteriota. RNAcentral also lists the same sequence under 1 other name.